GACGAACGCUGGCGGCGUGCCUAAUACAUGCAAGUUGAGCGCUGAAGGUUGGUACUUGUACCAACUGGAUGAGCAGCGAACGGGUGAGUAACGCGUGGGGAAUCUGCCUUUGAGCGGGGGACAACAUUUGGAAACGAAUGCUAAUACCGCAUAAAAACUUUAAACACAAUUUUUAAGUUUGAAAGAUGCAAUUGCUUCACCCAAGGUUGAUCCCGCGUUGUAUUAGCUAGUUGGUGAGGUAAAGGCUCACCAAGGCGAUGAUACAUAGCCGACCUGAGAGGGUGAUCGGCCACAUUGGGACGGAGACACGGCCCAAACUCCUACGGGAGGCAGCAGUAGGGAAUCUUCGGCAAUGGACGAAAGUCUGACCGAGCAACGCCGCGUGAGUGAAGAAGGUUGUCGGAUCGUAAAACUCUGUUGGUAGAGAAGAACGUUGGUGAGAGUGGAAAGCUCAUCAAGUGACGGUAACUACCCAGAAAGGGACGGCUAACUACGUG
This 497-nucleotide ribosomal RNA is filed under the name uncultured bacterium. RNAcentral's name for it is "partial 16S ribosomal RNA". It matches the Rfam family "Bacterial small subunit ribosomal RNA", at positions 28 to 507 of the family's 1533-position model. The record is from RNAcentral.